CGCACGGGUGAGUAACGCGUGGGUAAUCUGCCUAGUGGCGGGGGACAACCUUGGGAAACUGGGGCUAAUACCGCAUAAGCAAGAAAUUGGAAAGGUGGCCUCUACUUGUAAGCUAUCACCACUAGAGGAGCCCGCGUAGUAUUAGUUUGUUGGUGGGGUAAUGGCCUACCAAGACGAUGAUACUUAGCUGGUCUGAGAGGAUGAUCAGCCACACUGGAACUGAGACACGGUCCAG
Molecule: ribosomal RNA, 235 nt
Filed under: uncultured bacterium
Lineage: Bacteria
Description: partial 16S ribosomal RNA
Rfam family: Bacterial small subunit ribosomal RNA
Source: RNAcentral